CUGGCUCAGGAUGAACGCUGGCGGUAUGCUUAACACAUGCAAGUCGAACGGUGUCUUCGGACAUAGUGGCGGACGGGUGAGUAACGCGUGAGAAUCUAGCUUCAGGUCUGGGACAACCACUGGAAACGGUGGCUAAUACCGGAUGUGCCGGAAGGUGAAAGGCUUGCUGCCUGAAGAUGAGCUCGCGUCCGAUUAGCUAGUAGGUGGGGUAAGAGCCUACCUAGGCGACGAUCGGUAGCUGGUCUGAGAGGAUGACCAGCCACACUGGGACUGAGACACGGCCCAGACUCCUACGGGAGGCAGCAGUGGGGAAUUUUCCGCAAUGGGCGAAAGCCUGACGGAGCAAUACCGCGUGAGGGAGGAAGGCUCUUGGGUUGUAAACCUCUUUUCUCAGGGAAGAACACAAUGACGGUACCUGAGGAAUCAGCAUCGGCUAACUCCGUGCCAGCAGCCGCGGUAAUACGGAGGAUGCAAGCGUUAUCCGGAAUGAUUGGGCGUAAAGCGUCCGCAGGUGGCUGUGUAAGUCUGCUGUCAAAGAGCAAAGCUCAACUUUGUAAAGGCAGUGGAAACUACACGGCUAGAGUGCGUUCGGGGCAGAGGGAAUUCCUGGUGUAGCGGUGAAAUGCGUAGAGAUCAGGAAGAACACCGGUGGCGAAGGCGCUCUGCUAGGCCGCAACUGACACUGAGGGACGAAAGCUAGGGGAGCGAAUGGGAUUAGAUACCCCAGUAGUCCUAGCUGUAAACGAUGGAUACUAGGCGUGGCUUGUAUCGACCCGAGCCGUGCCGUAGCUAACGCGUUA
This 800-nucleotide ribosomal RNA is filed under the name Nostoc sp. SGR3. RNAcentral describes it as "bacterial SSU rRNA". It matches the Rfam family "Bacterial small subunit ribosomal RNA", at positions 19 to 862 of the family's 1533-position model. The record is from RNAcentral. Lineage: Bacteria; Bacillati; Cyanobacteriota; Cyanophyceae; Nostocales; Nostocaceae. RNAcentral also lists the same sequence under 1 other name.